AUGGGGAAAGCCUCAAUCGGCGCAGCUGUGUUUCGUGCUCCCGGAGACGACAUCUGUCAUUUCCAGGUGGUCUUGGUAGGCAACAGCGACAUUCAAAGCACACAAGCGGUCGCCUCUGUUUACUCGUCGGUGACCGGCCUAUGGGGGAAUCUCGUCUCAACAGCGCUGCCGUCCAAGGAUUCUGGUUUUCCCACCAUGAUUUACAUGGGCAUGCCUGCUGUGAUGGUUGGUGCUUCCUUUUAUUGGUUGCUUAUUAAUGGGGAUUCACAAGGAAUCCUUGAAUUUGAUUUGGAUAGGCGGAGCCUAUCUUGCAUACCCAUGCCAGUGGAAGACACUGAUGGUAUGGGCCAUGGCAAUAUUUGGGUUAUGCCGGCAGAGGGUGGCGGCCUUGGUUUCCUCUUCCUGAAAUGCUUUUGCGCCCAAUUAUGGAAGAUGAAGACCGAUUGCAAGGGUGUUUCUUCAUGGGUGCUGGGAAUAAGUAUUGAUCUUGACAAGUUACUUUCCUUGAAUUCAGAGAUGGACCCAUGGAUAGUAGGGUUUGCCGAGGACAAUAAUGUGGUGUUACUGUGGACAUCUGUCGGUGUCUUCACUGUCCAGUUUGAAUCAUUGCAGUUCAAGAAACUUUUUGAAUCUACAUAUGGCUGGUAUCACUAUUAUCCAUUCGAAGGUGUCUAUACUGCAGACACAGGCAUUGGUGGUGGAAACGAUGAAGCUAAACUUUUGCUCAAUACAUGA
Molecule: ribosomal RNA, 735 nt
Filed under: Triticum aestivum (bread wheat)
Lineage: Eukaryota; Viridiplantae; Streptophyta; Magnoliopsida; Poales; Poaceae
Description: partial small subunit ribosomal RNA
Source: RNAcentral